RNAcentral lists this ribosomal RNA (893 nucleotides) under Cybaeus mosanensis. RNAcentral's name for it is "SSU rRNA". It matches the Rfam family "Eukaryotic small subunit ribosomal RNA", at positions 33 to 928 of the family's 1831-position model. Lineage: Eukaryota; Metazoa; Arthropoda; Arachnida; Araneae; Cybaeidae. The record is from RNAcentral.
AAUCUGCCAGAUAGCCAGCAUGUCUAGUACUUGCCGCAUUAAGGCGAAACCGCGAAUGGCUCAUUAAAUCAGUUAUGGUUCCUUGGAUCGUACCUCACUACUUGGAUAACUGUGGCAAUUCUAGAGCUAAUACAUGCAGCAGAGCUCCGACCUUCGGGGACGAGCGCUUUUAUUAGACCAAAACCAAUCGGACCUCGCGUCCGUCUCUUGUGGUGACUCUGAGUAACUUUGGGCUGAUCGCACGGGCCCGUCCCGGCGACGUAUCUUUCAAGUGUCUGCCUUAUCAACUUUCGAUGGUAGGUUACGCGCCUACCAUGGUCGUAACGGGUAACGGGGAAUCAGGGUUCGAUUCCGGAGAGGGAGCCUGAGAAACGGCUACCACAUCCAAGGAAGGCAGCAGGCGCGCAAAUUACCCACUCCCGGAACGGGGAGGUAGUGACGAAAAAUAACAAUACGGGACUCUUUUGAGACCCCGUAAUUGGAAUGAGCACACUCUAAAUCCUUUAACGAGGAUCCAUUGGAGGGCAAGUCUGGUGCCAGCAGCCGCGGUAAUUCCAGCUCCAAUAGCGUAUAUUAAAGUUGUUGCGGUUAAAAAGCUCGUAGUUGGAUCUCAGUUCCAGACGGGUGGUCCGCCUACCGGCGGCUACUGCCUGUUCUGAACAGCCGGCCGGUUUCUCUUGAUGAUCUUCACCGGUUGUCUUGGGUGACCGGCAAGUUUACUUUGAAAAAAUUAGAGUGCUCAAAGCAGGCGCGACGCCUGGAUAAUGGUGCAUGGAAUAAUGGAAUAGGACCUCGGUUCUAUUUUGUUGGUUUUCGGAUCACGAGGUAAUGAUUAAGAGGGACAGACGGGGGCAUUCGAUUGCGACGCUAGAGGGAAAUCUGACUCCGAUCCC